Molecule: long non-coding RNA, 923 nt
Organism: Pan troglodytes (chimpanzee)
Lineage: Eukaryota; Metazoa; Chordata; Mammalia; Primates; Hominidae
Exons: 3
Source: RefSeq, a predicted model, not a curated record
GGGAUUGCGGAGGCGGUGGCUCUCACCGUUGGUCCUCCGCCCCCAGCUCGGGAUGAGGCUUAGGCAGCGUCCUUUCCAGCGAGGAGAGAUUCUUCUGUUUUUAUCACCCUAUCACCAGUCUCUCUCCACCCUAGAUGUGAGGAAAUCCACAAUACUUAUUAAAAAUAAGAUAUCCCUGAAACUGCCAGAUGUGUAAUAAUGAUCAACAUCUAACUAGAGACAACUAAAAGUUGGAAAAAAUGAAUAGCAGUUGAUAAUUUCACCAAAGUUUGCAACACCAGAAAUGCAGUAGAAAAAUCAUGCAGCCCUCUUCAUAAAAUGUCUAAUCUAUUAACCUGCAUUACUUCCAAAGGAGGGAUUUUAAAAGCUCUUUUUAAAGAUGACGUAUAUUCAGUUUCCAUAAAGUGCCAUCAUUUUAAAAAAUUGCUGGUAAUUAACAAGGUAAACAGGAUUUUGGUGAAUAAUUACAGUGACCCAGUAUUUUAAAUAUUGAUACUAGAGUGACAAAUGUCUGCUGAAUUGAAAGCUAAAUUGGCAUUCAAAUUAAAAUGACUUUCCUUCAUUUCAUCUUCACUUACCCAGAGGAAUAGCUUCCAUGUCUAUAUUUAGGUCAUUAAUUUAGAACUCAAAAAUAUGAAAGUAUAGAUACCCAGAGUGUUUUCAAGGUUGCUAAUCAUAUUUCCCUGGCUGCUUCCCUCUUCGGUGACCCCAGCCUUAUAAACCGCUGCUACACUUAGUUUGCACUCACUGUUAGCCCUUAAUCACAUCAUCCCAAAGUGUUCAGGUUUGUUUCGUAUAGGUCAGUCUUACCUCUCUAAUUAGAUCAUCAGUUCCAUGAGGAUAAGGUCCUUAUUUUACAGUCCUCUUUCCUCCUUUUAUAAUGCCUAGUACAGUGCUGAGCAUGUGGUAAAUAUGAUUCUAUU